UACAGAGGGUGCAAGCGUUGUUCGGAAUUACUGGGCGUAAAGCGCGUGUAGGCGGUCUAAUAAGUCGGUCGUGAAAGCCCUUGGCUUAACCAAGGAACUGCGAUCGAAACUAUUAGACUAGAGUAUCGGAGGGGAUGGUGGAAUUCCCGGUGUAGAGGUGAAAUUCGUAGAUAUCGGGAGGAACACCUGUGGCGAAGGCGACCAUCUGGAAGAUUACUGACGCUGAGACGCGAAAGCGUGGGGAGCAAACAGG
This 253-nucleotide ribosomal RNA is filed under the name uncultured bacterium. RNAcentral describes it as "partial 16S ribosomal RNA". It matches the Rfam family "Bacterial small subunit ribosomal RNA", at positions 524 to 776 of the family's 1533-position model. The record is from RNAcentral.